UUGGAGGGCAAGUCUGGUGCCAGCAGCCGCGGUAAUUCCAGCUCCAAUAGCGUAUAUUAAAGUUGUUGCAGUUAAAAAGCUCGUAGUUGAAUUUCGGGGUUCUUCCGUUGGUCAGGCUAACGAGUCUGUACUAGCGUGUAGAAUCUCUACCUUCUGGGGAACCAUCAUGUUAUUAAUUUAGCGUGGUGGGAAACCAGGACCUUUACCUUGAAAAAAUUAGAGUGUUCAAAGCAGGCUUACGUCUGAAUACAUUAGCAUGGAAUAAUAAAAUAGGACGGUGGUCCUGUUUUGUUGGUUUCUGAAUCACCGUAAUGAUUAAUAGGGAUAGUUGGGGGCAUUAGUAUUCAAUUGUCAGAGGUGAAAUUCUUGGAUUUAUUGAAGACUAACUUCUGCGAAAGCAUUUGCCAAGGAUGUUUUCAUUAAUCAAGAACGAAAGUUAGGGGAUCGAAGACGAUCAGAUACCGUCGUAGUCUUAACCAUAAACUAUGCCGACUAGGGAUCGGACGAUGUUAAAUUUUAUUGACUCGUUCGGCGCCUUACGGGAAAC
RNAcentral lists this ribosomal RNA (547 nucleotides) under uncultured Glomeromycotina. Its description in RNAcentral is "SSU rRNA". It matches the Rfam family "Eukaryotic small subunit ribosomal RNA", at positions 548 to 1098 of the family's 1831-position model. Lineage: Eukaryota; Fungi; Glomeromycota. The record is from RNAcentral.